ACCCCCUGCGCCACGCAAGAUGGCCGACACCCGACCCAUCAACCCGUGGGCUGUCCAAGAUGGCCGACGCCCUUCCCAGCACCCCCUAGACCCAACAAUAUGGCCGACGCCCUUCCCAUCAUCCCUUGAGCCCCACAAGAUGGCCGCUGCCCUUCCCAUCAUCCCCCACCAGACGCGGCCAUCUUGUCCCCUCGGCGGCCAUCUUCCUCUAUGGCUGCCCUCUUCUUCCUCAUUGACCAAUGUUCCCUUCUCAUUGCCCAAUUUCCCCAGUUUUUGCCCAUUUUACCCCCUCAUUAGCCCCUUUACCGCCUCGGUAGCCAUUUUACCCCCUUGGUAGCCAUUUACCCCCUCAGCAGCCAUCUUACCCCCUUGUCAGCCAUCUUGUCCCCCUGGCAGCCAUCUUCCCUCAAUGGCUGUCCUCUUCUUUGUUGACCAUUCUCCCUUCCCAUUGCCCAUUUCCCCCCCCUGGUUGCCCCUUUUACCCCCCCGGCGGCCAUCUUUGCCCCCCCCAGGUGGUGGUGCGGAUGCUGCAGGAGGGGCAGCCGGACGGCCGCAUCCUGGACGCCAUCGACUCCUUCUUCCCCGAGGGUGACGGCGCGGCGCUGGCGGCUUACGGCCACCCGAGCCCCCAGGACCUGGAGCUGGUGGAGGGGGCGCAGGAGAAUUUCCGGCAGCUGGUGCUGGAGCUGCUGGGGGACAGCCGGCGGCGGGCGGCCUACCUGGAGGACGCGGCGGGCCGUGACUACGGGGAGCCGUUCCUGCAGGCGCUGGAGAGCCUCUUCCACGAGUUCCUGCUGCGCCUCGAGAGCGCCCUGCCCCCCCCCGACGUCACCCAGCCUUGUUGCCCCGCCCCCUGCGCUGGAGCGGCCGCCCAUUGAACCCCGCCCCCAGGUGAGUGGCCCCGCCCCCUUCCCUUUAGCCCCACCCCCACCUCCUUUGAGGCCACGCCCCCUUUUGUUUAGCUCCACCUCCAGGCCCGCCAAGCCCCGCCCCGGCCUCCGCAGGCUCCGCCCCCUCCACGUGAGGCCAUUGGGUGAGUGCGGGGAGAGGGGGGCGGGGCCUCAACAGAAAGGGGCGGGGCCUCAUAAAGGGGGCGUGGACUCGCUGACCCCGCCCCCUCCCCCUUCCCAGAAUUCCUCGGUGACGUCAGCAGCGACUCGGAGGCAGAGGAGGUGCCACGCCGGAAGGUUAAUUAGGGGGGGGGAGGGUUUAAUUAGAAUGGGGAGGGGUUAAUUAGGGGGCGUGGCUAAUUAACGGCCCCUCCCCCUUGCUGUUCCCGCCUCCAGGCCCGCCUCCUGCCCCUCCCCCGCCGUGCUGCGCUGCUGGCAGGUCGGUGCUAACGAUCCG
This 1347-nucleotide long non-coding RNA is filed under the name Anas platyrhynchos platyrhynchos (common mallard). Its description in RNAcentral is "lncRNA (ENSAPLG00000028716.1)". Lineage: Eukaryota; Metazoa; Chordata; Aves; Anseriformes; Anatidae. The record is from RNAcentral.